GGGGAAUAUUGGACAAUGGGCGCAAGCCUGAUCCAGCCAUGCCGCGUGAGUGAUGAAGGCCCUAGGGUUGUAAAGCUCUUUCACCGGUGAAGAUAAUGACGGUAACCGGAGAAGAAGCCCCGGCUAACUUCGUGCCAGCAGCCGCGGUAAUACGAAGGGGGCUAGCGUUGUUCGGAAUUACUGGGCGUAAAGCGCACGUAGGCGGAUCGGUCAGUUAGGGGUGAAAUCCCGGGGCUCAACCCCGGAACUGCCUUUAAUACUGCUGAUCUGGAGUCCGAGAGAGGUGAGUGGAAUUCCGAGUGUAGAGGUGAAAUUCGUAGAUAUUCGGAGGAACACCAGUGGCGAAGGCGGCUCACUGGCUCGGUACUGACGCUGAGGUGCGAAAGCGUGGGGAGCAAAC
This 400-nucleotide ribosomal RNA is filed under the name uncultured bacterium. RNAcentral describes it as "bacterial SSU rRNA". It matches the Rfam family "Bacterial small subunit ribosomal RNA", at positions 356 to 773 of the family's 1533-position model. The record is from RNAcentral.